GGCGGGGUAGCUCAGCUGGUUAGAGCAACGGAAUCAUAAUCCGUGUGUCGUGGGUUCAAAUCCCUCCCUCGCUACCA
Molecule: transfer RNA, 77 nt
Filed under: Rickettsia akari str. Hartford
Lineage: Bacteria; Pseudomonadati; Pseudomonadota; Alphaproteobacteria; Rickettsiales; Rickettsiaceae
Also listed under: 1 other name
Description: tRNA-Met (CAT) (tRNA-Met-CAT-2-1)
Rfam family: tRNA
About the family: Transfer RNA (tRNA) molecules are approximately 80 nucleotides in length. Their secondary structure includes four short double-helical elements and three loops (D, anti-codon, and T loops). Further hydrogen bonds mediate the characteristic L-shaped molecular structure. tRNAs have two regions of fundamental functional importance: the anti-codon, which is responsible for specific mRNA codon recognition, and the 3' end, to which the tRNAs corresponding amino acid is attached (by aminoacyl-tRNA synthetases). tRNAs cope with the degeneracy of the genetic code in two manners: having more than one tRNA (with a specific anti-codon) for a particular amino acid; and 'wobble' base-pairing, i.e. permitting non-standard base-pairing at the 3rd anti-codon position.
Source: RNAcentral